GGGUCUGUAGCUUAACUGGGAAAGCGUCUGCCUUGCAAGCAGGAAGAUGUCGGUACCGCUUCGCGGAAGCAAGCUACAAAUCCGACCAGAAUCCACCA
This 98-nucleotide transfer RNA is filed under the name Leptolyngbya sp. IPPAS B-1204. RNAcentral's name for it is "tRNA-Ala". It matches the Rfam family "tRNA". Rfam says of the family: Transfer RNA (tRNA) molecules are approximately 80 nucleotides in length. Their secondary structure includes four short double-helical elements and three loops (D, anti-codon, and T loops). RNAcentral also lists the same sequence under 2 other names. Lineage: Bacteria; Bacillati; Cyanobacteriota; Cyanophyceae; Leptolyngbyales; Leptolyngbyaceae. The record is from RNAcentral.